GGAGUUUGGUCCGUGUCUCAGUACCAAUGUGGGAGACCUUCCUCUCAGAACCCCUACUGAUCGUCGCCUUGGUGGGCCGUUACCUCACCAACUAGCUAAUCAGACGCGGGUCCAUCUUAUACCGAAAAACUUUUACACACUGCAUCAUGCGAUGCUGUGCGCUUAUGCGGUAUUAGCAGUCGUUUCCAACUGUUAUCCCCCUGUACAAGGUAGGUUACCCACGCGUUACUCACCCGUCCGCCACUCAGUCAACAAAUCGUCACCCCGAAGGGAUCGUAAUAAGCUGCUUCGUUCGACUUGCAUGUGUUAAGCACGCCGCCAGCGUUCAUC
RNAcentral lists this ribosomal RNA (330 nucleotides) under uncultured Pseudobutyrivibrio sp. RNAcentral describes it as "partial 16S ribosomal RNA". Lineage: Bacteria; Bacillati; Bacillota; Clostridia; Lachnospirales; Lachnospiraceae. The record is from RNAcentral.